This 464-nucleotide ribosomal RNA is filed under the name uncultured bacterium. Its description in RNAcentral is "partial 16S ribosomal RNA". It matches the Rfam family "Bacterial small subunit ribosomal RNA", at positions 29 to 507 of the family's 1533-position model. The record is from RNAcentral.
ACGAACGCUGGCGGCGUGCUUAACCCAUGCAAGUCGAACGGAAAGGCCCCUUUGGGGGUACUCGAGUGGCGAACGGGUGAGUAACACGUGAGUAACCUGCCCUUGACUUCGGGAUAACUUCAGGAAACUGGGGCUAAUACCGGAUAGGAAUCCUUGCUGCAUGGUGGGGGUUGGAAAGCUUCGGCGGUUUUGGAUGGACUCGCGGCUUAUCAGCUUGUUGGUGGGGUAGUGGCUUACCAAGGCUUUGACGGGUAGCCGGCCUGAGAGGGCGACCGGCCACAGUGGGACUGAGAUACGGCCCAGACUCCGACGGGAGGCAGCAGUGGGGAAUAUUGCACAAUGGGCGGGAGCCUGAUGCAGCAACGCCGCGGGCGGGAUGACGGCCUUCGGGUUGUAAACCGCUUUCAGCAGGGGCGAAGCUUGUGGUGACGGUACCUGCAGAAGAAGCACCGGCUAACUACGUG